UCUCUUUAGUGUGAAUGGGCUUUGUUCGG
Molecule: non-coding RNA, 29 nt
Filed under: Mus musculus (house mouse)
Lineage: Eukaryota; Metazoa; Chordata; Mammalia; Rodentia; Muridae
Source: RNAcentral